GCGGGUGGGCGGUGCGACGGUACAGCGGCGGCUCGUUCGUACUGUCAUAGGAGACUGUGGUACUGUUUACAGUGUAUUAAAAUACCUUCUGGUACGCUGUAGUACUUUUCGCCUGCUCAAGCGGCUCAAGUGUUAUGAUCGAGUUUUCGAGUGAAGAACGGCAGCAGUGACACCGCUUUGUUUCGAUUCGUCCUUCUACACGCGGUGGGGAGAUGCAGCUGGACCUUCUUGUCCCCUUCAAAAGCGCAUUGACACUGGUCCGUGAAGAAAGAGCACCUGUCUUCACUGUUCAUAUGACAUUCUGUGCCAAUGGCCUCACUGCAAGAGGAAAACCUUGGAUGAAGUGAUUGAUAGCUGUUGUUCAGUGUGACCUUGAAGUAAUGUAGGGUUAAUUUUGCUACAGAGAAGAAAGCAAUGACAAUAAAUUUGAGACACAAACAAGGCCAACACAAGGUGUAUUUUGUUUGUUGAAUAGUGAGCUAUCACAUUUGCACUGUUUCCUUGACAUAAGCCAGUGCAUUGGCUGUUGACAUUGAUUAUUGACAUUGGCUGCUGAUAGCCAGUAUGCUAUUAUUUUGCUAUUCUAAUUUAAGUAGUCUUUUCUGCUACCUCCAUCAGCUGGUGAAUGUUGUCAGAAUUUCAGGGGCUGCGAGGAACGACCCAAUGUGAGCUCUUAUUCUCACACUAUCACAACAGUGGCAGACUGGCUGACAAAACCUGCUGCUUGGGCUUCAUCUGCGACUCGUAGAGUACUAGAAACCAUUGAGCCCACCAAACCCUGUGUAAGCAGCUGCAUCUUUCCCUGAGUUGGCACUAAGAAGGAAGUUCCAUACCCGUGAUCUUGUUGACCAACUUUCUGCAUGGGAGUCCCGGUUGUCAGUAGAAGAUUGCAACAAAGUAUUCCAGGGUGAAAAUCAAGCCUUUCCGGUUAGCAGAUACGGUGGGCCUCCUAAUCGAAACAUGGCUCCAGGGCCAACAACGAGCUCUUUGUGGUAGGUAGGCCAGCCACAGUUCAAUUGUAAUACCAAUUGGUAACUUUUGAAAGUGCCACAAGCCAGUUUUGUGUGUGUGUUGUGAGGAUGGUAUAGUUUUUGCAGCCAUGAUUUAGGCAAAAAUAAGUCUUUUUGGUGACUGGAAAAAUUUAUUCAAGAGGAGUGAAUGCACCUUUGCUGUCUUUUAAGCUUAUAAUUCCAUCCAAGUUGUAGCCUGUUCUUUCUCUGUGCUGUUUGCUUUAUUUGAAAAUCAAGUACUACAUUUAGUGAUGCUCUCAAAAAAGGCUAAUUGGUUCCUGUACCCGUUUUAUAAACAUUUUAAAUAUCAUUUUAACUAACACAAUUUUAUUUUUUGUUGCACUGAUAAUGAAGAUUUCUAAGUUCUCUGUAAAGAAGUUGCAUUUACUAAGGUUCCACUGUAUUCAUCAUAUUCAUGGCAAC
Molecule: long non-coding RNA, 1433 nt
Organism: Dermacentor silvarum
Lineage: Eukaryota; Metazoa; Arthropoda; Arachnida; Ixodida; Ixodidae
Exons: 4
Source: RefSeq, a predicted model, not a curated record